UUACUAUUUUUAGACUUUUGGAUAUUUUCCGGGUAGUGUCCGCCAACGAAGUGACAAACGUCCAUUCCAGUAGAUCGAUCUACGUCUAGCAUGAAUGGAGUUAUAUUUAAUCAUAUUUAAUGCAACUUACAGAUUAUUGUGUCUUUUGUAAUCCUGCUGGUACAGAGCGCUUGGUCAACACAUCAUUCCAUAAGGGAAUUCAACACAUUACAAGGGCGAAAGGAACGAAAUGAGAGUUGUUCCUCUGGAAAUGAAAGGGUGUUGAAAGCUUGUCAUCCCUGUACCAAGUUAGAUUUGCGGAGGGAGAGGCCUUCCUGUAGAUUGUGGGGUUACAUGGAAGUCAUUGAGUGUGAGGAUAAAAAAGAAAUAUCCAGGAAUUGCGACAUUGAUCCAGACAAACAUGCGACCAGAUUCUGGGUAUUUGAGCUGGUAUGCCUCCUGAUUGGAAUAGCAUCCUACUUUGUGGUCAAGAAGAGACAGAAAAGACUUGACACAUUCCUCAUGGAGAAAAUAAAUAAACAAAUCUCUGAAGGGGUGUAAUCUUUGAUACUUGAUGAAAUCAAUGUGGGGUUAAAUGCGGCUCAUUUUGUGUGCAGGAUGGAAAAUUAAAUGAGAUUAUUAUUUCUUUGAGUCAGAGAAACUGGUUUGUAUGGAGAAUGAGGUCAAGUAAAAUAUGAAGUUAUCGUAAAUAUAUUUAUUAAUUAUACUGCAUUAGUACAUUUCUUUCUGGUCUGUGUGUCUGUAACAGAGAAUUACCAUGACUAGGUGAGGAAGGGAAGUAACUGUGUUCUGAAAAAAACAAAUACCCAUUAAAACUUAACGCUGAUUUGCAUCUGAUAAUUUAAAUGAAUGGAAACAUUCUGCUGGUCAGGGUCAGUUGUGGACAAAUUAACAGGUCAAUUUGUUGGCAGCUGGAUCUGUGGUGCUGAGUACAGCUAAAAAGGAGUUACAGCUGGAUCUGUGGUGCUGAGUACAGCUAAAAAGGAGUUACCAGUGGCAUAGCAUACAUGUUUGCUUGUAUACUUAAGCAUACACUAAAAAUUUUAAGAUUUUUUUUUAUUCAUAUAAUUUUGUUAAUUUCUUUUUAUGAUUAAUAUGGACUGUCCAUAUCAAUGAUAAAAAGGGAAAGAAGUAAAGAAAAAAUCUUCUUGAAAACUUAAGUCUGAUAAGAUAUUGUUGUUAUGUUAUGUCUAUACAGAUUGACAAAUCACGAAGGUUUAUGUAAAUUGAAAAAUAAUUAAUGAAGUACACAAUUUCAUAUCAUUCGUAUGAAAAUUUGGUUUUUACUUGUAAAUAAUCGGUCUAAAAGGAGUUCCCAGAACAUGAGAAAACGCUUCUAGAACGGAAUAAGAUUAGCUAUCCAAGUCCUUGCUUCCAGGACCUAGUAGGUUAUGGUCCCUCCCAUUCCAUACCCUUCCUCGGACGCUCGACCCUCUGUAAGCAUACACUCUGAAAAAUUAUUUGCUACGCCACUGGUUACUGUUGGCUACAGUUACAUAUGCUGUAAACAGAAAUUGUGGUUGUCAAAAAAUAUUGGUAACAAGUUUUUGAUUGUUGGCAGUUUUGUUAUAAUGAAAUAACUAUUUUACUGUGACGAGAAUGCUUUUGACAUUUGUGCAGAAUAAAUGUGUCGAGUGUUAAACUGCCUUGCCAUGAUAUAUGCUAAAGUUAUAUGUAUAUGUGCAUAAAAUAUCUAUCAUGUGAAUAAAAAAUUCUAAAAA
Molecule: unclassified non-coding RNA, 1721 nt
Filed under: Mizuhopecten yessoensis (Yesso scallop)
Lineage: Eukaryota; Metazoa; Mollusca; Bivalvia; Pectinida; Pectinidae
Description: protein JTB-like, transcript variant X2
Source: RNAcentral